GUUGAAACACCUGUUCCCAUAUGAUCACCAAAAUUAAAUAACAUCAAGCCUGGUCAGUACCUAGAUGGGUGACUACUUGGGAAUACCAGGUGUUGUAA
Molecule: ribosomal RNA, 98 nt
Filed under: Acanthosepion pharaonis
Lineage: Eukaryota; Metazoa; Mollusca; Cephalopoda; Sepiida; Sepiidae
Source: RNAcentral